RNAcentral lists this ribosomal RNA (463 nucleotides) under uncultured bacterium. RNAcentral describes it as "partial 16S ribosomal RNA". It matches the Rfam family "Bacterial small subunit ribosomal RNA", at positions 28 to 507 of the family's 1533-position model. The record is from RNAcentral.
GACGAACGCUGGCGGCGUGCUUAACACAUGCAAGUCGAACGGUGAACCUCUUCGGAGGGGAUCAGUGGCGAACGGGUGAGUAACACGUGGGCAACCUGCCCCCGGCUCUGGGAUAACUCCAAGAAAUUGGGGCUAAUACCGGAUGUUCACCGCUUCCCGCAUGGGUGGUGGUGGAAAGGGUUUCCGGCUGGGGAUGGGCCCGCGGCCUAUCAGCUUGUUGGUGGGGUAGUGGCCUACCAAGGCGACGACGGGUAGCCGGCCUGAGAGGGUGACCGGCCACACUGGGACUGAGACACGGCCCAGACUCCUACGGGAGGCAGCAGUGGGGAAUAUUGCGCAAUGGGCGGAAGCCUGACGCAGCGACGCCGCGUGGGGGAUGACGGCCUUCGGGUUGUAAACCUCUCUCAGCAGGGACGAAGCGCAAGUGACGGUACCUGCAGAAGAAGCACCGGCCAACUACGUG